RNAcentral lists this ribosomal RNA (478 nucleotides) under uncultured bacterium. RNAcentral's name for it is "partial 16S ribosomal RNA". It matches the Rfam family "Bacterial small subunit ribosomal RNA", at positions 29 to 523 of the family's 1533-position model. The record is from RNAcentral.
AAUGAACGUUGGCGGCGUGGAUUAGGCAUGCAAGUCGAGCGAGAACCAUAGCAAUACGGGGAAAGCGGCGAAAGGGAGUGUAACGCGUAGUUAUGUACCCAGGGGUUCGGAAUAGCCACUGGAAACUGUGGGUAAUGACGAAUAACAUCUCCGUACCAAAGGUGUGAUUCCGCCCUUGGAGCAGACUGCGUCCUACUAGCUAGUUGGCGGGGAAAUGGCACACCAAGGCAACAAUGGGUAGCGGGUGUGAGAGCAUGACCCGUCUCACUGGGACUGAGACGCUGCCCAGACACCUACGGGUGGCUGCAGUCGAGAAUCUUCGGCAAUGGGCGAAAGCCUGACCGAGCGACGCCGCGUGCGGGAUGAAGGCCCUCGGGUUGUAAACCGCUGUCGUAGGGGAGGAAGGCUCCGUGAAGAACGGGGUUUGACCUAUCCUAGGAGGAAGUACGGGCUAAGUUCGUGCCAGCCGCCGCGGUAA